ACUAACACAAAUACAUAGACCUGUCAGCAAAACAUGAAAAAAUCAGACUGUCAACUAAAAACUGAAAUACCACUUAAGAAGAAAGUAAAAUGUAAUUUACGCGCAGCAUGUGAAAAUUUGGAAUUAAGACCAUAAAAAAGAUAAGCAUGCACAAAAUUUAAUUUCAUCCUCUUGUUCUCACAAUACAUCAUCCGCUAUCAAAAUAAGUGCACAAUAUUCCAUUGACCACA
This 230-nucleotide unclassified non-coding RNA is filed under the name Hevea brasiliensis (rubber tree). Lineage: Eukaryota; Viridiplantae; Streptophyta; Magnoliopsida; Malpighiales; Euphorbiaceae. The record is from RNAcentral.